This 402-nucleotide ribosomal RNA is filed under the name Triticum aestivum (bread wheat). RNAcentral describes it as "partial small subunit ribosomal RNA". The record is from RNAcentral. Lineage: Eukaryota; Viridiplantae; Streptophyta; Magnoliopsida; Poales; Poaceae.
AUGCCAGUAGAGAUACGUCAGUUAUUUUCUGACAUAACUUCGUUUUUUUUCUAUGGAUAUUGCAUAUCUAUUUGUUGUUUCGAAGGAGGUAAGCCAAGGGCGAGAAAUAGAGCAUGCCGUAUGUGGUUUUUCAUUUCAGGCAAUAAAUACUAUCAGGCUGGUUUGUGCUGUGUUGGAUUCGGUCCAGUUACAAGACAGAGGCAGAGGAUAUGGAUACAAGAAGUCAAGAAGAUACCCUUCUCUCUGUUUCUAAAUUACAAAGUACCUUGCCUGGAUCUGGAGGUGCAGUUACGGCAAACUCAACAUAGUCAAGGACAGGAAAGAACCAUGGAAAGAAGAAGGGGUUUAGGUGGUAAGCACAUUGACAGGAUCGACGAUCGACAACCCAAUCUAUCUCACUGA